CAAAACAACAGUCUCAGUUCAGAUUGUAGGCUGAAACUCGCCUAUAUGAAGUCGGAAUUGCUAGUAAUCGCGGAUCAGCAUGCCGCGGUGAAUACGUUCCCGGGCCUUGUACACACCGCCCGUCACACCAUGAGAGUCGAUAACACCCGAAGCCUGUAGUCUAACAGCAAUGAGGACGCAGUCGAAGGUGGGAUUGAUAAUUAGGGUGAAGUCGUAACAAGGUAGC
RNAcentral lists this ribosomal RNA (226 nucleotides) under uncultured bacterium. RNAcentral describes it as "partial 16S ribosomal RNA". It matches the Rfam family "Bacterial small subunit ribosomal RNA", at positions 1275 to 1500 of the family's 1533-position model. The record is from RNAcentral.